CCAAGCAGUGAUCUUGUGAAGCCCGGCAAUCAUGUGACACCUCCCAGGAUGACAGUUCUGCCAGAGACAGCAGUCAUUCCACCCAAAGCUGUCUUUUCUGAGCUGACAUUUGGGAUUCUUGCUCAAACAAAUCCAUUUUCCUAGAAGACUGGACAACUGCCUUCUACCUGCCUAUCCGUGUAUCCUACCUCCUCUUCUCUGCUGUAAACCCCACACCUCCAAUAAGAGAGGCUGAGUCCAGCGGGGGCUGAAGUCCCCUCCCUUAGAAAGGACGUGACUGUGAUCCUGAGCCCCCCUGGACUAAGAGUGCAGGCUGCUGGGAGGCUGCAGCUCAAUGGCCAUACACCAUCCCUUCCUCACCGAGAAUCUCAUUCUCACCUCCGGAGACUUACACUAUGAAGUUAACCUAUGUCCCGCCACUGUUCCCACCUUUUCAGGCUGCUGAUGCUGAGUGGAUUGGAGCGGAAGGUCCAUCUUGGCUAUUCCACAGAUUGUUUUUAUAGCUAUGCCGCACGCCUUCCUAUCCUUUCAGGAGAGACCCAGGAUUUUUUGCACAACCCCUUUAAGAUGCAGGACUCCUGAACGGUGACCUCACUCCUUGGCCAACCGGCCCUCAGAGCCCUCCUGCGGGAGACAGCCAGGUGUUUGAUGUAGACCAACAAAGAAGACAAGCUCAGAGCCACAGGUCAACUGGUCCAACAGAUCUCAGAAUCUGUGUCAUGGUGGAUCCUACAAAUGCCACUCGUGGUGAACUGCAGGCUUGGUGUCUUUACUGGACUGUGUCUAUAAACAUCACCAUGUCCAGGAAUGGAUGAUACUCACCAAGCAUGUUCUAUACAUAAGCUGCAUGCUAGGAUGGGAGAAGGCAAGAUGAAGGCUCUGAAAAGACUUUGUGGGAGUUGUUUCUGGAUUUCAGAAUGUGCUUUUGGGUUGCAUCACCAUAGGCAUCAAUAAGCCACAGAGCACUUUUGAUACCAGAAGAUGAGACACGCUCCUGUAGCAUACACCUCAGGUUUGGGGCCCUCAACUGUCCACAGACAGGAUUUUUGCUCUUCUGCUGGAUGCUUGAAUGAUAUGCUUCUGUGAAAACAUCCUUGGUGCACAACACGCAACUGGGUUCAAGAAAGCUUGAGCUGUCUCUAGUCUUUGUCAAAACAACAAAAAGACUUUGUCAGCAAGAAAUACCUUUAACUUAAACAAGUAUGAAUUGCUUGUCUUUCUUCCUUCCUUCCUUCCUUCCUCCUCCUCAUCCUCCUUCUCCUCUUCUAGUAAGAGCAUUAUAAGAGCUAGUUAUCCAGGGAAUAUGCCACUGUCCAAAGAUGCUGUUCUUGGGUUACAUCUUCCUUUCCUGCUGUCCCUGAGAAGGGGGUAUUUGUUUUCAUACUUGCUGCCUCAUAGCCCCCAUCAUGAUUGCCACACCUCUGUGUAUCAGGUUCUCAUCCAGGGUAUGAAGUAAAAGGAAAAUCAAGGGAGCAAAUGGCCUGGUCAUCAAACCUGUUUUCAGUGUCAGGAAAACAAAACCUUUCCUUAAAGCCUAUGCAGAUUUUUUUUACUUGCAUUCUCAUAAGCCAGAAACAAGUUGUAUGACCAUUACUAAACAAGUUGUUAGUGAAUAGAAGCAGUGUUAAUCAAGACUCACACCCAGGGCUCGAUGAUGGCAGCCUUUGUGGUGGGAGAAUAGAACAAAUAAGAGAAUAAAACAGAGAGGACUUAGCAGGGAAGAGUGGGAUGGAGUUGAUGAGAAGGAACUCAUUAGGAAGAAGUCAUCGGCACAGGCUUUGUGGAAGAUGGGAUCAUAUUGGCCGGAAGGAGGCUUUUGUUUGCUGAUACCCAUUCCUCUGGCCCAAAGAGUAACUAACCAGGACUAGAGAAUUCAUAGUGUUCCACAAUGAGAAGAAAAAUGUGCAGUGUGAAUCUAUGAUGCCUGGAACUGAUGCAGCCAUGUUGCCCCCAUGAGGAAUCCAGGUUGGAGAUGUAGACAGAGGGCCCAUGUAUAGAUGAAGGGAAAGAAUUGGAGCCAAUACCUUGAUUUAAAUAUAACCAUGACACACCUGGCUUUUAGACUUUUUUCAGUCACAAAUGUUAGCUAGCAUAGUCUAAGAGUUGUGCAAAUCAGCUUGUCGUGUAACCAGAAGAAUAGUAACCAACAGAGAUGAAAUAGGAAGUCAGCAAACAGGGUUGCAUAAGGAUGAUGCAGUUUUGAAGUACUGUGUUGGGCCAAAUUUGGUCAACACUCUUUAGCUUGACUUGAUCUGACAUGCUGAUGUGCAAUAUGAUACACUGAUGCUUCUAGCAGAGAUAUCCGCAAAGUAUUCCAGAACCCUCUCAUCAUGGGACAGACUGUCAGCCAGUCUGAUCCUUGCCCUGUGAGCUUCAGGCCUGCAACAAGGUCAGACCUAGCAUUCCCAUGAACAGAGAGCGUAGGAGACACAGGAAGGUGGGCAAUGUUUUGGUUCCUCAAAUGCUUCCCCAGUGGCUUCUGAGCUUCCUCCUGUGGGAGGCCCUGUGGCAGCAGGCAAGGGUGGCAGCUGAUCAGAAGUAGACAAGAAAGAAAUCCCAGCAAGCUUCAGAAAGCCUGGGCAGCCUUGGCAUGAAGAGGUGAGAGGAAGUGGUGGCCUGAGAGAGAGACAUGCCUGACACUUAGCCCUGCCCUCCUGGAGCACCAGUGUGCGAAGACUCACACAUAGUGCAAGUCUGCAUGUAACAGACAGGCAACACGGAUUGGGGGCGGGGAAACAACUAACAAACCAUCACAUUUUAACCUAUCUGUUUGACUCUUUCAUAUUAUUUUAAUUCCACCUGUGUGUGCAUGACCUGGGAAGAAUGCACUGGCCUUGAAGUUGACAGAUGAGUGGGACCUGGCCACCAAGUAAUGUGAGGACUCUCUAUGGAAGGACUAGGUGUGUGCACCUCUGUGUGUGUGUGUGCUUGGGCACAGCUUCUUCUAUCUAGUAGGGGCUGAGUGUGGAGGCUGAAGCGGGGAAGGCCAUGAAGAGUAGGGACAGACCAGACAGGACCUAGAGGUCAUUAUCAGGGUUCAAGAUCCUGUGCCGAGGCAUGGGAACUGCAGCAGAGUUUAAACCAUGAAUGAUGUCUUUGUGUUGCUCACCAAGUCUUCUCUUCUGCUUCUGGGAGGGUAGGUGGGAGGGCAGAGAGGAGGCCAGGGUGCUCAGGGCUGUGGAGAAGGACAAGGAAGCAGGUGUGUGUAGGUGUCUGGAGAGCCUGGCCCCUGUGCUCUCUAUAGGGUCACAGGGCUGUGUGUUGCUACAAGGACUAGUUUCUCUUAAUGAGUUUUCAGUCACCUUUGCUGAUUUCAAGUGGGUCAAAAAGAACAGCUCAAAUCCUGCCAUUAGGGAGCUGGGAUGACUCAGCUAUGUGGAGGCUCAAAGCCUUCAGGGUCAGGCUCUGGGAGACAGCCCUUGACAGUAGUCCUCAAACAAGACCAACAAAAUGUCUCUGGAACGUUGGGAGGGGGUACUCAACGAAGAGCCUUGGCGUCCUUGUUAGCCUUUAUAGCAACACUGUUGGUUACAUUUUGUUAACUGAUACAUGCUAGGAUCUUCUGGAAAGAGGGAAACUCAAUAGAGAAAAAUGCCUCCAUCAUAUUGGCCUAUAGGUUAGCCUGUAGGGGGAUUCUAUUGAUUAGUGAUUGAUGUAGGAGAGGCCAGCCCACUGUGGGCAGUGCCGCCCCUCGGCAGGUGGUCCUGGCUUGUAUAAAAAGCUGGCUGAGCAAGCCAUGGGAGUGAGGCAGUAAGCAACACUCCUCUAUGGCCUCUCUUCUGUUCCUUCAGUGAUGUCUGUGAUGUAGAUACGUAAGCCAAAUAAACCCUUUCCUCCCCAA
Mesocricetus auratus (golden hamster) is the source of this 3841-nucleotide long non-coding RNA. RefSeq lists it as uncharacterized. Lineage: Eukaryota; Metazoa; Chordata; Mammalia; Rodentia; Cricetidae. The transcript has 4 exons. The record is from RefSeq and is a predicted model, not a curated record.